CUAGAUGGCUGGGCAGUCGCUUGAUCGUAAGAUUGAGAGGAAAGUCCGGGCUCCAUAAAAACACAAUGCUGGUUAACGGCCAGCGAGGGCGACCUCAGGGAAAGUGCAACAGAAAAUAAACCGCCGUAUUUUUUACGGUAAGGGUGAAAAGGUGUGGUAAGAGCGCACCGCAUUUUUGGCAACAAAAAUGGCAUGGUAAACCCCAUUGGGAGCAAGACCAAAUAGGAGCGGCAGGUUCAGGGUAUUUAUACUUAUGAUGGGUGCGUUUUUACACCAGAUCGCUCGGGUUGGUUGCUUAAGAUAUUUGGUAACAAAUAUAUCAGAUGAAUGAUUGUCUCACACAAAACUCGGCUUAUAGGCCAUCUAGCGAU
RNAcentral lists this RNase P RNA (371 nucleotides) under Hyphomicrobiales bacterium. Its description in RNAcentral is "Rhizobiales bacterium RNase P RNA component class A". It matches the Rfam family "Bacterial RNase P class A". From Rfam's summary of the family: Ribonuclease P (RNase P) is a ubiquitous endoribonuclease, found in archaea, bacteria and eukarya as well as chloroplasts and mitochondria. Its best characterised activity is the generation of mature 5'-ends of tRNAs by cleaving the 5'-leader elements of precursor-tRNAs. The record is from RNAcentral. Lineage: Bacteria; Pseudomonadati; Pseudomonadota; Alphaproteobacteria; Hyphomicrobiales.